GCCUGACUGGCUCAGUCAGUAGAGCAUGUGACUCUUGAUCCCAGGGUCAUGAAUUCAAGCCCCAUUUCAGGCG
RNAcentral lists this transfer RNA (73 nucleotides) under Canis lupus familiaris (dog). It matches the Rfam family "tRNA". From Rfam's summary of the family: Transfer RNA (tRNA) molecules are approximately 80 nucleotides in length. Their secondary structure includes four short double-helical elements and three loops (D, anti-codon, and T loops). Lineage: Eukaryota; Metazoa; Chordata; Mammalia; Carnivora; Canidae. RNAcentral also lists the same sequence under 1 other name. The record is from Rfam by way of RNAcentral.